This is a small nuclear RNA of Peromyscus californicus insignis, 166 nucleotides long. RefSeq annotates it as U1 spliceosomal RNA. Lineage: Eukaryota; Metazoa; Chordata; Mammalia; Rodentia; Cricetidae. The transcript has a single exon. The record is from RefSeq and is a predicted model, not a curated record.
AUACUUACCUGCCAGGGGAGAUACCAUGAUCAGGAAGGUGGUUUUUCCCCAGGGCGAGGCUUAUCCAUUGCACUCUGGAUGUGCCAUCCCCUGCAAUUUCCCCAAAUAAGGGAAACUUGACUGCAUAAUUUGUGGUAGUCGGGGACUGUGUUCAGGCUCUCUCAUA